UGGGGAAUUUUGGACAAUGGGCGCAAGCCUGAUCCAGCAAUGCCGCGUGCAGGAUGAAGGCCUUCGGGUUGUAAACUGCUUUUGUACGGAACGAAAAGGCUCUGGUUAAUACCUGGGGCUCAUGACGGUACCGUAAGAAUAAGCACCGGCUAACUACGUGCCAGCAGCCGCGGUAAUACGUAGGGUGCAAGCGUUAAUCGGAAUUACUGGGCGUAAAGCGUGCGCAGGCGGUUAUGUAAGACAGGUGUGAAAUCCCCGGGCUCAACCUGGGACCUGCAUUUGUGACUGCAUAGCUAGAGUACGGCAGAGGGGGAUGGAAUUCCGCGUGUAGCAGUGAGAUGCGUAGAUAUGCGGAGGAACACCGAUGGCGAAGGCAAUCCCCUGGGCCUGUACUGACGCUCAUGCACGAAAGCGUGGGGAGCAAACA
Molecule: ribosomal RNA, 427 nt
Filed under: uncultured bacterium
Lineage: Bacteria
Description: bacterial SSU rRNA
Rfam family: Bacterial small subunit ribosomal RNA
Source: RNAcentral